CAGUCGCCGCGGUAAAACGGAGGGUGCAAGCGUUAUCCGGAUUUAUUGGGUUUAAAGGGUCCGUAGGCGGACUUAUAAGUCAGUGGUGAAAGCCUGUCGCUUAACGAUAGAACUGCCAUUGAUACUGUAAGUCUUGAGUAUAUUUGAGGUAGCUGGAAUAAGUAGUGUAGCGGUGAAAUGCAUAGAUAUUACUUAGAACACCAAUUGCGAAGGCAGGUUACCAAGAUAUAACUGACGCUGAGGGACGAAAGCGUGGGUAGCGAACAGGAUUAGAUACCCGCGUAGUCCCUGUCUCUUAUAC
RNAcentral lists this ribosomal RNA (301 nucleotides) under uncultured bacterium. RNAcentral describes it as "partial 16S ribosomal RNA". It matches the Rfam family "Bacterial small subunit ribosomal RNA", at positions 509 to 807 of the family's 1533-position model. The record is from RNAcentral.